Phlebotomus papatasi is the source of this 2711-nucleotide long non-coding RNA. RefSeq lists it as uncharacterized. The record is from RefSeq and is a predicted model, not a curated record. NCBI's taxonomy places the organism in Eukaryota, Metazoa, Arthropoda, Insecta, Diptera, Psychodidae. The transcript has 2 exons.
UUUAGCAAAUUCUCUAUAGAGAAUUCAAAAAUCGAGCGUGAGGGCGGCGCGAGCGGUUGCGCGAAGAACUAGUAGCGAACUACUAGCGAAUCUGGCGGAAAAACAAUCAAAACCUCUUCUGACAGUUCCCACGCGAAGCAAUUUCCUCGAAUUAACUUGCGCAGUUCUUGUGGAAAAAUCGGGAAAAUAUUGAAGAAAGUCCCGUAAAACCCAGUGAAAAGGUGUGUAAAAACUCUUGAAUAUAUUUCUUUGUGCUGCAAAGUGAGAAAAAAUAGGUGUAUUUGUGAAAAAUUGCAUCAACGGCGACCAGCGAAAUUCUCUGGAGGUGUCAUUCCACAGUUUCCAGGUAUGAAACCGCAGCAAAAAUUGCUACGGGUCCACACCAGAACAUGCUAGAGCACCCUUCAUCGCUAAUCUCCGGAAGUGAACCCCCAUUGCCCAUUCAAAAAGAGCCACGAAUCUGGCGUCCUCCCCACUUCACUGGUGAAGACCGACUGAGCGAUAUCGUCACUUGAAGUUAGCUGUGGUUACAACACCUCUCAAAGUUACACCCCAACUGGACAAUGAUUGGUACUGUUGGCUUAGAAGAGUCUUUGUCGAGACGGGCUUUCUCCCCAACUCCUCUAGGCUCCACAGUCCUACUACAAUACAUUGGUACCACAUCUUUUGAUGGAAAGCAAUACGCACCACUAAUUAAGUGUGAUCGUUUCUUUCCUCAGAUGUCACGAUGAACAGCAUCUUUUUAUUUCAAGUGGUAACAGACCAUCAGAAUGGAUUGUAUGCAAUAUCAUACGGUAUAAGAGAUCCUGGUAAAAGGCAUAUGAAUAUAUCAUUUGUGUUUUGCUGAUUUGUGUUAUAGAAACAAAUUCUAUUAGAUGGACUUAAGCUUGAAAGGCAUUCAAUUGUUCAGAAUAAUUAUAAAAAGCAAUGUAUUUAUUAAAAUCUAUUUUUAAAAUAAAUUUACUGUCUAUUAGAAAGUCUCUUUUAUACCCUACUCAAACCUAAUUUUCAAGUUUUUGACAAAAUAUUUAAAUUCUGUGUCAUGCUGGAUCCACAUAAUGAUUCGUGCUUCAGAUUCGCCUAGGUUUUUGCAAUUUGACAAAACUUCUGGGUAAAUGUAAGUAUUUUGAUAAACAAACAAACUAUGAUUCUAUCUAUCGAUUAUAAUAUCACUGAUUUUGUACUUCGUUAGCAUUACAGUAAACGUAACACUUCAUGCUGAUAUUUAAACUUUGGUUAAAAAGCAAUGCCCUAUUUUUGUAAUUUCAUAUGCGUUCCAUAAUAAUUUAUCGCCACUUUAACCCUCUAACUGGUAAGACCUCUCGAGACGAUCUUCACAAAAAUCACAUUUACUGCGAUUACAAUUUAUUUAAAAGUGCUAUAAUGUCCUCGGUAUACUAACAUCUUUUGAAAGUUUGAUCUCAUUUUGACUUCGUUUAGUUGCUAUCCCCAGUUUUGUGUGACACGUCAGAGAAAAGCAACAAAAAAUAUUUGUACAGAACAAACUCAUUUCUAAUUCCAAGAAAAAUACCGGUUUAAAGUUAUCUGAGUAAAAUAAAUUUAUUUUUUACUUAACUCUUUCCGAACCACAACAUAUCCAGCGAACGAAUUUCAGUAAAACUCACUUUAUUGUAAGUCUUAGUGAUCAAAUAUGAUACUUUUGUAGAGAAAGAAUUUUGUCCGCCUCUGGGAAAUUGGAAAACUCAUGGGUACUCUCGUCCCCAAAAGAGCGAAAAGGAGACAAACUUCAAUUUUCCAAAAGCCAAUAAUAUCAAUUUUGUGAAUUGUUUUUGCGUGUUAAAUGACUCCUUUACAAUGUUGAUCACUAAAACAAGAAGAAUUAUUGACCAGUAUCUUGUGGGAUGUCCAGGAAGUGGUCAAGAAGACACCAAGUUUCUGCUUGCCAACAGAUUCCUCAAAAUAUUUCACAUAAUAACACUUUAAAACACAUUUCCUUCAACACGAAGUUAUUGUAGACAUAUUAAGCUUUCUCAAGAGCCAAAAAAACACUUCUUGGACAAACAGAAUUCACCAAAAUCCGGAAGAAUAGGAGAAACUUCCCCGAAAGCAAUCUGCCUCGCUUCCAAAUGUCAAAAUUAUCAGCCAUAUUGGCAAAAAAGUAGUUCCCGCUUGGAAUUUUGAUAAAAGGUUGGUGUCAAAAAGCAAAUGGCAGGCAUUGGCGGGAUAACCUUACAUUUGACCUCUAGAGUUUUGUGGACGAGAGUACCCAUAAAGUUUGAACAAGUUUUUUGAAAAUUUAAGAAAGAAAUAUUUUUCGAAUUUAUGCAAUCUGUAAUUGCUAGUUAUCAUACUUAUUGGCCCCGAGAGGUUUUUCCUUAUUCUGGUCUAGAAAUAUCAAAAAAGUCACAAUAUCUGCAAGGAAGCAGAAAAUCGAAAAUUCACGAUUUUUGACCAAAAAUAUCUAAGCUCAGGAGUUAAUUAGGAUCCUGCAAAAAAUAUCCUAGAUUUGGACAUCUUUAUAGUUUGUAAUUAUCCAGAAGAAUCAGAUUUUUAUCGAUUCUAGAUAGUCUAAAAAAAUUGUUGCUUCCAUGGGUACCCAUAGUCCCGAAGGAGACGAAAGAGUUAAAGAUAUGUCAUUCUACAUUGUAUAUUUUAUUUGAAAAAUUUUGAAAAAAGUAAAAAUGUGAAUUUUAAAAGCAAAAAGUUUCAUUUUUUUUAAAAUAUUUUCUCACCUAGCGUCUAAACUAAAA